GGGCAGCGCGGGAGAGGAAGCAGCCCGCGCGCCUUGAGGGCUUGCCUCGGGAAACAUCGCCCUCGGCCCCCUGAGGGACGGAGCGGCCAGCACCCCCACGGCCGAGGAGCCACCGGCCCCCUGAAGGUAUAUACUGUAUUUCCUUCAUUACUUCAUACUGCAAGCAAGGGUACAGAAGGCAGCCUCCAUGAAUACAGAUCCCACAGUGCCAGAAUUUUUGAAGCAACUUAAAAGCAUUUCUCUAGAACAUUUUGCACUGUUACAACUUGCAACUCAUCCUUCCCUUUGCCAAUAAACUACCACUCCCAACAUUUCGUAGCCUA
Molecule: long non-coding RNA, 323 nt
Organism: Falco peregrinus (peregrine falcon)
Lineage: Eukaryota; Metazoa; Chordata; Aves; Falconiformes; Falconidae
Exons: 2
Source: RefSeq, a predicted model, not a curated record